RNAcentral lists this ribosomal RNA (410 nucleotides) under uncultured bacterium. RNAcentral's name for it is "bacterial SSU rRNA". It matches the Rfam family "Bacterial small subunit ribosomal RNA", at positions 355 to 794 of the family's 1533-position model. The record is from RNAcentral.
UGGGGAAUAUUGCGCAAUGGGCGAAAGCCUGACGCAGCAACGCCGCGUGCGGGAUGAAGGCCUUCGGGUUGUAACGCUUCAGUGGGCGGCGGUACCCACAGAAGAAGCCCCGGCCAACUACGUGCCAGCAGCCGCGGUAACACGUAGGGGGCGAGCGUUGUCCGGAUUUAUUGGGCGUAAAGAGCUCGUAGGCGGCUCGGUAAGUGAGGUGUGAAACUCCAGGCUCAACCUGGAGACGCCACCUCAUACUGCUGGGCUAGAGUCCGGUAGGGGAGCAUGGAAUUCCUGGUGUAGCGGUGAAAUGCGCAGAUAUCAGGAGGAACACCAGUGGCGAAGGCGGUGCUCUGGGCCGGAACUGACGCUGAGGAGCGAAAGCGUGGGGAGCAAACAGGAUUAGAUACCCCGGUAGU